GACGAACGCUGGCGGCGGGCUUAACACAUGCAAGUCGAACGGAAAGGCCCUGCUUUUGUGUGGUGCUCGAGUGGCGAACGGGUGAGUAACACGUGAGUAACCUGCCCUGGACUUUGGGAUAACUUCAGGAAACUGGGGCUAAUACCGGAUAGGAGCUCCUGCUGCAUGGUGGUGUUUGGAAAGUUUAGGCGGUGGGGGGUGGACUCGCGGGUUAUCAGCUUGUUGGGUGGGUAGUGGCUUACCAGGGCUUUGACGGGUAGCCUGCACGAGAGGGUGACCAGGCUCAUUGGGACUACGGGAGGGCGCAGACUGCAAUGGUGGGCAGUAGGGGGGAACAUUGCACAAUGGGCGGAAGCGUGAGGAGGAAACCCUGCGUGCGGGAUGAAGGCCUUCGGGGGGGAAACCGCUUUCGCCUGUGACGAAGCGGGAGUGACGGUAAUGGGUAAAGAAGCACCGGCUAACUACGUG
This 468-nucleotide ribosomal RNA is filed under the name uncultured bacterium. Its description in RNAcentral is "partial 16S ribosomal RNA". It matches the Rfam family "Bacterial small subunit ribosomal RNA", at positions 28 to 507 of the family's 1533-position model. The record is from RNAcentral.